UCAAAAGGAUGGGGACUCAAGGGAUGAAGAGUGGGGAACUGGUGGAAGCAGUGGUGGUGGGAACAAUGAUAAUAAGGAUUAUGAUGGCCCAGCCGGUAUGGAUGUUGAUGGAAUCAUCGAGUCCACAUGGACAGAGGUUGCUACAAGCUUUGAUGACAUGAACCUCAAUGAAUCCCUACUUAGAGGUAUCUAUGCCUAUGGUUUUGAGAAACCUUCAGCCAUCCAGCAACGUGCCAUUAUGCCUUGUAUCAAGGGCCACGAUGCCAUUGCCCAGGCUCAGUCUGGUACUGGCAAAACUGCUACUUUCUCCAUUGCAAUCCUUCAGAGGAUUGACUCCAAAUCCCAAGAAACCCAGGCUCUCAUCCUGGCCCCUACCCGAGAAUUGGCCCAGCAGAUUCAGAAGGUGGUGCUUGCUCUUGGCGACUACAUGAAUGUAUCUUGCCAUGCCUGUAUUGGUGGCACAAAUCUCCGUGAGGACAUGCGUCGCCUUGAGAUGGGUGUACAGAUCAUUGUAGGUACCCCUGGCCGAGUGUAUGACAUGAUCAAUCGCCGAGUCUUAGAGCCGAAGGACAUCAAGAUGUUCGUUCUUGAUGAGGCUGAUGAGAUGUUGUCACGUGGUUUCAAGGACCAGAUCUACGAUGUCUUCCGGUUCCUCCCCCACGAUGUGCAGGUUGUGUUGCUCUCUGCUACCAUGCCUGCUGAUGUCAUGGAUGUAACCACCAAGUUCAUGCGAAAGCCAAUCACCAUCUUGGUCAGAAGGAGGAGCUGACCCUUGAAGGUAUCAAGCAGUUCUAUGUGAAUGUUGAGAAGGAAGACUGGAAGUUAGAGACCCUGUGUGAUCUGUACGAAACUCUCACCAUCACCCAAGCUGUUAUCUUCUGUAACACCGAAGGAAGGUGGAUUGGCUUACCGACAAAAUGCACCAGCGUGACUUCACAGUGUCUGCUAUGCACGGUGACAUGGACCAGAAGGAGCGUGACGUCAUCAUGCGCGAGUUCCGCUCUGGAUCAUCCCGUGUUCUGAUCACAACUGACUUAUUGGCCCGUGGUAUCGAUGUACAGCAGGUGUCCCUUGUCAUUAACUAUGACCUUCCUACAAACAGGGAAAACUACAUUCAUAGGUAAGUUCAGUGGAAGCCUCUUCUUAGGC
This is a non-coding RNA of Penaeus vannamei (Pacific white shrimp), 1149 nucleotides long. NCBI's taxonomy places the organism in Eukaryota, Metazoa, Arthropoda, Malacostraca, Decapoda, Penaeidae. The record is from RefSeq and is a predicted model, not a curated record.